This 488-nucleotide ribosomal RNA is filed under the name uncultured bacterium. RNAcentral describes it as "bacterial SSU rRNA". It matches the Rfam family "Bacterial small subunit ribosomal RNA", at positions 30 to 507 of the family's 1533-position model. The record is from RNAcentral.
AUUGAACGCUGGCGGCAUGCCUAACACAUGCAAGUCGAACGGUAACGCAGAGAGCUUGCUCUUUGGCGACGAGUGGCGGACGGGUGAGUAAUGCUUGGGAAUCUGCCCAGUAGUGGGGGACAACUCGGGGAAACUCGAGCUAAUACCGCAUACGCCCUACGGGGGAAAGCGGGGGAUCUUCGGACCUCGCGCUAUUGGAUGAGCCUAAGUCGGAUUAGCUUGUUGGUGAGGUAACGGCUCACCAAGGCGACGAUCCGUAGCUGGUCUGAGAGGACGAUCAGCCACACUGGGACUGAGACACGGCCCAGACUCCUACGGGAGGCAGCAGUGGGGAAUAUUGGACAAUGGGGGCAACCCUGAUCCAGCAAUGCCGCGUGUGUGAAGAAGGCCUGCGGGUUGUAAAGCACUUUCAGUAGAGAAGAAAAGCUUACGGUUAAUACCCGUGAGUCUUGACGUAACCUACAGAAGAAGCACCGGNUAACUCCGUG